GACGAACGCUGGCGGCGUGCCUAAUACAUGCAAGUCGAACGCUGAAGGAGGAGCUUGCUUCUCUGGAUGAGUUGCGAACGGGUGAGUAACGCGUAGGUAACCUGCCUGGUAGCGGGGGAUAACUAUUGGAAACGAUAGCUAAUACCGCAUAAGAGUAGAUGUCGCAUGACAUUUGCUUAAAAGGUGCAAUUGCAUCACUACCAGAUGGACCUGCGUUGUAUUAGCUAGUUGGUGAGGUAACGGCUCACCAAGGCAACGAUACAUAGCCGACCUGAGAGGGGGAUCGGCCACACUGGGACUGAGACACGGCCCAGACUCCUACGGGGGGCAGCAGUAGGGAAUCUUCGGCAAUGGACGGAAGUCUGACCGAGCAACGCCGCGUGAGUGAAGAAGGUUUUCGGAUCGUAAAGCUCUGUUGUAAGAGAAGAACGAGUGUGAGAGUGGAAAGUUCACACUGUGACGGUAUCUUACCAGAAAGAGACGGCUAACUACGUG
This 495-nucleotide ribosomal RNA is filed under the name uncultured bacterium. RNAcentral's name for it is "partial 16S ribosomal RNA". It matches the Rfam family "Bacterial small subunit ribosomal RNA", at positions 28 to 507 of the family's 1533-position model. The record is from RNAcentral.